GUACGGCGAGUGAAGCGGCAAAAGCUCAAAUUUGAAAUCUAGCACCUUCGGUGUUCGAGUUGUAAUUUGAAGAUGGUAACCUUGGGUUUGGCUCUUGUCUAUGUUCCUUGGAACAGGACGUCAUAGAGGGUGAGAAUCCCGUCUGAUGAGAUGCCCAUUCCUAUGUAAGGUGCUAUCGAAGAGUCGAGUUGUUUGGGAAUGCAGCUCUAAGUGGGUGGUAAAUUCCAUCUAAAGCUAAAUAUUGGCGAGAGACCGAUAGCGAACAAGUACAGUGAUGGAAAGAUGAAAAGAACUUUGAAAAGAGAGUGAAAAAGUACGUGAAAUUGUUGAAAGGGAAGGGCAUUAGAUCAGACUUGGUGUUUUACGAUUAUCUUCUCUUCUUGAGUUGUGCACUCGUAUUUCACUGGGCCAGCAUCGAUUCGGAUGGCAAGAUAAUGGCAGUUGAAUGUGGCUUCACUUCGGUGGAGUGUUAUAGCUUCUGCUGAUAUUGCCUGUCUGGAUCGAGGGCUGCGUCUUUUGACUAGGAUGCUGGCGUAAUGAUCUAAUGCCGCCCGUCUUGAA
Molecule: ribosomal RNA, 561 nt
Filed under: Hansenula anomala
Lineage: Eukaryota; Fungi; Ascomycota; Saccharomycetes; Phaffomycetales; Wickerhamomycetaceae
Description: Wickerhamomyces anomalus partial large subunit ribosomal RNA
Rfam family: Eukaryotic large subunit ribosomal RNA
Source: RNAcentral